AGUCCUUUGGAAUCUCUAGCGAUGGUUUGACCUUUUCACUUAGAAUCAAUUUUGAGUUUUGAGGGCUAAAAUCAAAAUCACGUAAAACUUGCUUUAUGAAAUUUGAUUCUAAUUUUGGACUCAAAAUUUAAAUUAUUAUUUAAAUUUUAGAUUCAAAUAUAAAAUUAAAAUUAAAAUUUUAAUUUAAAAUUUAAAAUUUAAUAUUUAAAUUUUAAAUUAAAUUUAAAUUUUUAAAAUUUCAAAUAUUUAAAAUUUAAAAUUUAGAUUUAACUAUUAAAUUUAAAAUUUUUAAUUUCAAAUCUCAAAUGUCAAAAUUCAAAAUUCAAAAUUGAUUAUAUGAUUAUUUUUGUGCUUGUUUAGUCCUACUUUUGAAAUCACUUGUUUAUUUCGAAAAAAUAAUAACCUUAAAUUUUCUGAUUGCGGUGAAGCAGAAAAAAUAUUUUGAACCACAAAAAGGAUUAAAAAAAAUUUUAGUUCGUGAGGUGUGUCGAUUACCACGUGCAUUUUGUUGUCUCAAAAUAACCCAACCAACGAAGUUGGGCUUCAACUGAAAUAGUAAAAUGAUGACAAGCUUUUUUUAUUUUUUUUUCCAGCCCACGUUCAGAAUAUAAUAACAAAUGAACAUGAAUUAAGAUGCACUUACCCAUACAAUGCAGCAUAUUCUUUCAGUCUUUACCUUGUUUAUUUCCAAUUGACUCAUUAUGCAAUAAGUUUGAGCAUACAUCCUUUCAUCUACUCGAUCACAUCUCUCCAACAAGUCCUAUUCUCUCACUUAUAUACAUCCUUUCAUCUCUUCUUUCUCAUUUCUUUCUAAUAGAGCGCUCCAAUACUAUGUUUUGCCAAGAUUGAACUUGAUGCAAUUAACUUGGCUACCUCAUCCAAAACAAUACUCUUGACUAAAAAAUUUCCCGGUUCAAAAGAUCAUUCCAACCAAC
Molecule: long non-coding RNA, 935 nt
Filed under: Ananas comosus (pineapple)
Lineage: Eukaryota; Viridiplantae; Streptophyta; Magnoliopsida; Poales; Bromeliaceae
Description: long non-coding RNA (ACOM_LNC017600)
Source: RNAcentral